RNAcentral lists this non-coding RNA (25 nucleotides) under Mus musculus (house mouse). Lineage: Eukaryota; Metazoa; Chordata; Mammalia; Rodentia; Muridae. The record is from RNAcentral.
UGUUAAAUUGACUUGCGAUGUCCCA